GUCUGAAUAGUUCAGUUGGAAGAGCAUUCGCCCAGAAAGCGAAAGGUCUCGGGUUCAAUUCCCGAUUUAGCCA
Non-coding RNA from Nylanderia fulva, 73 nucleotides. NCBI's taxonomy places the organism in Eukaryota, Metazoa, Arthropoda, Insecta, Hymenoptera, Formicidae. The record is from the annotation of a RefSeq genome assembly.